CCCUUAGAUGUUCUGGGCCGCACGCGUGCUACACUGAGUGGAUCAGCGGGUCAGGUUGCGCGAAAGCGUUUCCUAAUCUUUAAAUCCGCUCGUGAUGGGGAUUGACGGUUGCAAUUUUCUGUCAUGAACGAGGAAUACCUUGUAAGCGCGGGUCAUCAUCCCGCGCUGAAUACGUCCCUGCCCUUUGUACACACCGCCCGACGCUCCUACCGAUUGAGUGGUCCGGUGAGGCUUUGGGAUCUGAGCGGAAAGAGCGUUUCGCUGUUUCUGCUCGGAAAACUCAGUCGAACCUUAUCAUUUAGAGGAAGGAGAAGUCGUAACA
This 322-nucleotide ribosomal RNA is filed under the name uncultured eukaryote. RNAcentral's name for it is "partial 18S ribosomal RNA". It matches the Rfam family "Eukaryotic small subunit ribosomal RNA", at positions 1470 to 1796 of the family's 1831-position model. The record is from RNAcentral.